GCUUCCGCCAGGAGAGAGCUGGCGGAGUUGAGGCGCCGGCUUUCCCGGGUCUUCUCCAGCUGCCACCGCUUUGCUGCAAAGCUGACGGGCGCAAAGACAUGAGUGACUCCGCGGGAGGGCGCGCUGGUCUCCGGCGUUAUCCCAAGCUCCCAGUGUGGGUGGUGGAGGAUCAUCAGGAGGUUCUACCCUUUAUAUACCGGGCCAUAGGCUCAAAGCAUCUUCCUGCCAGUAAUAGAAUUAAGUAUUGAAAAUUGGAUUAUGCCUGCGGUUUAUGCUGGCCAUUUUUCACAUGUAAUAUGGUUUCAUCCCGCAUGGGCUCAGCAAAUCAGAGAGGGCAGACACCACUUUCUAGUGGGCAAAGACACUUCUACCACAACAAUCAGGGUUACAAGUACAGAUCAUUACUUCCUAAGUGAUGGUCUGUAUGUACCUGAAGACCAGCUAGAGAACCAAAAACCUUUACAAUUGGAUGUAAUUAUGGUGAAACCUUAUAAACUCUGUAACAAUCAAGAAGAAAAUGAUGCAGUGUCUUCUGCUAAGAAACCAAAGCUAGCCCUGGAAGAUUCGAGAAACACUGCCUCUACUAACCGUGACUCCUCUUCAGAAGGACUGGAAAAGGACACAGCAACACAGAGAAGUGACCAGACUUGCCUAGAACCAUCAUGUUCAUGUUCUUCUGAAAACCAGGAAUGCCAGACUGCUGCCAGCACUGGGGAAAUUCUGGAAACUUUGAAGAAAGGGAAGGCAUUUGUUUUAGAUAUUGACUUGGAUUUUUUUUCAGUCAAGAAUCCCUUCAAAGAAAUGUUCACU
RNAcentral lists this small RNA (810 nucleotides) under Pongo abelii (Sumatran orangutan). RNAcentral's name for it is "processed transcript". The record is from RNAcentral. Lineage: Eukaryota; Metazoa; Chordata; Mammalia; Primates; Hominidae.